GUCCCCAAGGUUCGUUUGUAGAAUUCAGGAUUUUUUAACCUGCUCUACAUCCAGGCGGCUGUUGUUUUCACUGAUUUAUCCAAUCUUUGGAAAUUAUAAUCUGCCUUUCUUGCAACAGCGUCCCUUAUGAAAAGAUUGCCCUGUGGCUUUCUUGCUGGUCCUUCCUUUCUGCACGUUUUUUUUUUUCACUGAGUUAAAGCAAGACUGGAGAACCUCGUUGCGCCAGAUGCCGCUGAACUACAACUCCCAGCAACCUCAGCUAGCAGGUUCAAUAGUGAAGAAUUUUGGGAGAUAUAGUUCAGCGACAUUUGACAAUCUCACAGGCUAUGUACACCUAAUACACACAUGAGUAGGUCUGUAUAGAACACAAAGGACUGCUGAUUGCAUGUUAGAUCUGCAGCCUCAUCAGUCCCAAUAUAUUUGGAGGAUGCUUGGACUGGACCCUGAUGAAGAAUUUUCGUUCAACAAUUUGGCACCCCAGAUGGGACUCCAAGCUAACCUGGUAGACUGAGUCUGGUAAGCCUCAUCACUUUUAAACCACUUCUGCUUACUUGAAUUUGUUCCCUGGUUGGUAUACUGUGCUUCUUGAUUUGAUGCCAGACUUAAACUUGUUAGGACUAACCUGUCCUGUGGCAGCAAAAAGAGGGCAGUUAGUGCUUUGCUGCCCUCUGGUAGUCAUCAAACAUUUUGCAGUGCUAAUCUGAUAGAUUUAUUAAUUCCAGAAUUUUCUCAUUCUGACGAAUGCAAGUAGACACCUUUUACUAGAUAUUUACUGUAUUCCUUCCUGCAAUUUUGUGUUGGAUCCAGAUUAUCUUGUCUUCACUUCUAAUUAUUACAUAUUUUUUCACUGUUUUGUAGAGAAAAAUACCACUGAAGGAGAGAACAAUUUCUGCAAUUGACUUUUAUUGAUUGAUUGAACUUAUAUCCUGCAGCAAUCAAGUAAACAAGCAUGCAACCAGUGGUGGGAUUCAGCCGGUUCGCACCACUUCAGCAGAACUGGUAGCUAAUUUUUUGUUGCCCAGACCCAGAAUGGACCUCUGGAAGCAACAUCCACACAGAGAAUCGAUUGUUCACAUAUUUGAAUCCCACCACUGCAUGCAACCCAAUAAUAAUCAAAAUUUCCAUAGUAAAAACCAGCAUGGAUGACAAGAAAAUAGAAUUAAAAAAAUAAUUAAAAUGGUUCAGUGCAAUAUAUCGAGUAUACCGUUCCAGAGACCAUGCUAAACAAUGAUGUUGUUUCAAAAAAACCAAUGUCAUCUUGCCUUGGCUUCCUUCACCUCCUAGAAGUGUGAAAUCAGUAUCAGCCCUCCAAGAUCUAAUGAGGGGGGCUGAUUCUGGUUGGAGCAGGCAGCCCCGCAGAUGCCAAAAUUCCAAGUCAUAAAGCUUUUUUUUGUGAACAACAGAAUCUUAAAUUGUAUGCAUAUCAGUAACCAGUGCAGAGUCAGAAAAAUGGGUGUUAUUUAGUGCCAUUGCCAAAAGUUGGCAAGUACAUACAUUCUGGACCAGUUGCAGUUUCUGAAGAACCUUUAAUGGGGUGGUUAAACUGGGUGGUGGUGACAACAUGAAUUACUCUAGCAAGCUUCUCUUGCACCAGAUAGAGUCACACUUGGUGCAUUAGCUAGGCAAAUGCCUCGUUAGAUAUUCCUGUUCUAGCAGGAGCUAUGAGUCUACAAGGACCUUCCAUUGUGAAUUUGCUCUUUAAUGGGUAAUAGCUGUCCAUCCAGAGGCAACACUGAUGUUGACAGAGGACCCAGAUAUAAAUAUAAUAACUCUGUUUUACUUGGGUUCAGUUUCAGUCUGUUUUCUCCCAUCCAGGCUCUUACAAUAGUUGACUAUUAUUAGCAUACAGACUCUCUGGCUAAAAACACCACUAAGGAUACCAUGGUCAACAAUACUGAAGGCCACUGAGAGGUCCAAAAGGACAAGGAGGGGUACACUAUUGACACUCAUAUUCUGAAACAGGCAUCAAAAAAAGCAAUUUCUUCUGUCUCUGUCUCAGCCUGAAAUAUGACUGAAAAAGGUCCAGAUAAUCGAUUUCAAGUGGGAUGUUGUGAAACUGGUUUGCUACUACUGUACUGCCAACAGUGUCUCAAGGAAAGUUGGAAACAGAAUGAUGUCCAACUCCCCUAGAUUGCCUGUUUGGAAGGGGGCACACCACAAUUCCUUCAAGGCUGUUGAAAAUUUCCCCUCCUAUAAGAAGGAAUUUAUAGUCUCCCAGGUGCAGGUGGUCACCUCUCUGCCUGCUCCUUGCAUUAUCCAGGAUAGUCAAGGCUCUAAAAAGGAGAUGGCAAAUGACAAUGUAGACCGCUUCUACCAAAGUCACAGACCCAAAGAAACCCCAGCCUUGUCCACAUGAGGAAUCAAGGCUUCAGCAAAUUUGAGUGAUUUUACCAGCAAAGUGCUAGGCAAACUGGUCAGAUGGCAGAUCUUCACGUUUUCCACAGUAGAAAGUUAGCCAUUCUAAAUAAGGCUGUUGGGUGUCAGUCCACUGGCACAGUAAAGGAGGAAUACAUUACCCUCUUGCUGCCACAUUGUAGACUUGAAUAUAGACACAAACCAUGCUCCAUCCAAUUCACUUGAUUUCCUCCAAGUGUCAUUGUGGAUAUUUCAUUUUCAAGAGAGUUUUAGAAAACCAUGGCAUCAACUGGGCUAGGGAGACACUAUUUAGAGGCAAUGUUGUCCAGAGCCUGGCACACUUUCUGCAGCCAGUUGCACACUAGAUAGUGGCCAGAACUUCUUGCCUAAGAGUUAGGAAAUUUCAGCCACUCUGAGAUGAGUACAAGAUCCAAGAUGUAACCACCAAUAUGAAUCAGGCUCAAGAUUACAUGAACAAGGCCAUGAUGGUCAUGGAGGAGAUGAAUUCCCAAGCUUGGCUCCCAUGGUGGGCAGUUUGAAAUCCCCAAGCACUAAAAGGCAGUGAUUCUCCAACCCCUUGCUCAGAAACCAACUUUACAGCUCAGGAAGGGAUUCCGAUGGCUAGCAGGGAGGUUGGUACACCAGCAGGAUCCCACUGGACUUUUGAUUUAUGCUAUGAUUGAAGAUUAUUUACAGUAUUUAGAAGCACCUACAUUUUCAGAAUUGGAGAUCACAAUAAUUGAAGAACACGGAGACAUGUUUUAGGUGCAAAUACAUCUAUUUUCUAGACAACUACACCCAAUGAAGUGAAAAUUUCCAUAGCACUUUAAUGCAGUCAACUGUUCAUCAGAUCCUAAGGCAGUAUCUAUAUUUUUACUAAAAUGUUUUUCAGAAGUUCAGAGAGUUUUUCUUGAAAUGUAAAACUUGUUUUUCUUAUCCAUGUGAUCAAAGCUGGAGGCUGUGAAUUUGUCCUUUCUGCAAUCUGUU
Molecule: long non-coding RNA, 3342 nt
Organism: Crotalus tigris (Tiger rattlesnake)
Lineage: Eukaryota; Metazoa; Chordata; Lepidosauria; Squamata; Viperidae
Exons: 3
Source: RefSeq, a predicted model, not a curated record